AAGGACAUCCAACAUAACAGCACUCUGGGUGGAGCCAUGCACUUUCCACUUCUCAAUGAUGGACUUAACAAGCACUCUGGGGAAUCUUCAAAGCCUUGGAAAAUCUUUUUAUGUCCCUCACCUGAUGUUUACCUGCUCCUGGAGAUCACGCUGCUGCCUUUGUGUGGAUCUGCACAGCUGAUCAAAACAGCUGUUCUUAUUCAAGCUGUCGAUUUUAUGCAGAUGUUGAACAAAUGACGCGACUCUGUGACCAUGGAGGCAGCUGGUUAUUAUUAUUCCUGAGAUAUUGUUUAUCAAACCUAGUUAUUAAUGUUGUUCAUAUUUAAAUAAAGUUAGAAAUGUUUAUUAUUAGCUUUUCAAAUCAUUAAAGAGUGCGCAUUUAUUUAUUUUUAAUCCGCUGUAACUUCACUAUUAACAUUCUGUCACAAUUCUUUCUCUUUUUCAUUUCCUGUCUCAUGUUAUAUUUAAAUAACUACAUGGUUUCAAAAUGUGGUUUAAAAUAAAUCACUUUUUAAUCAGUUCGACGCUGAUUUUAUCCACAAGGAAAGAUUUCUCUUCAUGUGUGAGAUGAGAGCUUCAAAGUCCAGGCUCUUUUUUAAAAAAAAAAAAUUCUUUUUUUAAAAGUAAAAGAUAUUAGAAGAUUAAUAAAACAUUUGGACGAGCAAAAGGAACAUUUUCUGUCCCGCUGAAUAUUUGAUGUGUGUGGAUUGGACAUGUUCAGGAUGAAGGAGCUGUUAAAGGCAGAGACACGGAUGAAAUAAAGAUGAUCUAAUGAAAUAAAAAAAAUAAUAAAAAAGUCUCUUAAUUGAAAAGAAAAAGUUCUUAUCUAGUUGGGACCAAAACUUUAAGUGUGCUACCAAAAUAUUUAUAAUUCAUCAUUUUAUCGCUAAACACUAAAGCCAUCGCCGCCGAUGCUCUCAACCAAUCAGAACACAGAUUCCUUUUAGAGACCAAUGACGUGAAGAGAACAAAGAAGUUGAUAACACAUGAAUUAAAAUAAAAUAAAAAAAGAAGAAAUCUCUUGGAACUUAAAAGGAACGAUAGUGGACAGAAGAAAUAUGAUAAAUAUCCAACAUGUCCACAAGUCCAUAUCGAGCAGGAGACAUUAUGAAGAAAUGAUGAUAAUGAUGAUGAUGAUGAU
Molecule: long non-coding RNA, 1141 nt
Organism: Ictalurus punctatus (channel catfish)
Lineage: Eukaryota; Metazoa; Chordata; Actinopteri; Siluriformes; Ictaluridae
Source: Ensembl